UUCAUCCUGUUCGACCAAAUCCUCUCCAUACCUCACCCUUCUUCUACAACAUCAAAAACAAUGGCUUCAAGGUGACCAGUCCUCUUCGUCUCCUUCGUUAUCCGGUGACAUCUACAACAUUAAAUAUGUGGUGAACUGCGGCGGGCGUGGAUCUGAACAGGGCGGGUGGUUGAGGCGGUGGUCUAUGGUGGUGUUAGUGUUGAUGCCGGUAGAGGGAGUGGUGGUUGCACGGGCGUGGAUGGUGCUUAACGUCGGUUCAAAUUCACUGACGGUUCAAUUCUAGUUCUUCGAUCUUCAAGAUUACUUGAACUUGUCGAUCUGGUUCUAUUCUAGUGAGUGGCAAAUGGGAUUUGGUAGUGGUAUCAUCCAUUGUUUUAUCUUCCUAACCAAAAUAAGAUGAACAAUUGAUUCUGAAUGUUGUGUGUUGCAAAUGGGGUUUAAUGCUUAACAAAGAGAGAUAAAAAGAUACUUUAAUAUGAUAUUGCACCGACUUAUUAUGAGAAGAGAUGGAAUUGUAGUGUAA
RNAcentral lists this long non-coding RNA (523 nucleotides) under Helianthus annuus (common sunflower). Its description in RNAcentral is "hypothetical non coding rna". Lineage: Eukaryota; Viridiplantae; Streptophyta; Magnoliopsida; Asterales; Asteraceae. The record is from RNAcentral.